AUCCUGGCUCAGAUUGAACGCUGGCGGCAGGCCUAAACNCAUGCAAGUCGAGCGGUAGAGAGGUGCUUGCAUCUCUUGAGAGCGGCGGACGGGUGAGUAAUGCCUAGGAAUCUGCCUAGUGGUGGGGGAUAACGUUCGGAAACGGACGCUAAUACCGCAUACGUCCUACGGGAGAAAGCGGGGGGAUCUUCGGACCUCGCGCCAUUAGAUGAGCCUAGGUCGGAUUAGCUAGUAGGUGAGGUAAUGGCUCACCUAGGCGACGAUCCGUAACUGGUCUGAGAGGAUGAUCAGUCACACUGGAACUGAGACACGGUCCAGACUCCUACGGGAGGCAGCAGUGGGGAAUAUUGGACAAUGGGCGAAAGCCUGAUCCAGCCAUGCCGCGUGUGUGAAGAAGGUCUUCGGAUUGUAAAGCACUUUAAGUUGGGAGGAAGGGUAGUAACCUAAUACGUUGCUACUUUGACGGUACCUGAAGAAUAAGCACCGGCUAACUACGUG
Molecule: ribosomal RNA, 498 nt
Filed under: uncultured bacterium
Lineage: Bacteria
Description: bacterial SSU rRNA
Rfam family: Bacterial small subunit ribosomal RNA
Source: RNAcentral